UAAAAAACAAAGAACAGAAGAGUACCUUUAUUAGUUCAUUCAAGAGAGUCUUUGGCUGGUGGAAAAAGACAGGAAGAUAAAGCGAACCACAUCUGGGAGUUAACUUUUUGAACAACAAGUAGGAAAGUUCGGGUAUGCUCGUUACAGCAUUGAAGUCAAUGACUUCUUGAGGUUAUCGUUGUGAGACGAUAAUAAAAAAAGGUGGAACCACGAUUUUACGUCCUUUGG
RNAcentral lists this non-coding RNA (228 nucleotides) under Enterococcus sp. Its description in RNAcentral is "T-box sequence". It matches the Rfam family "T-box leader". From Rfam's summary of the family: Uncharged tRNA acts as the effector for transcription antitermination of genes in the T-box leader family. The record is from RNAcentral. Lineage: Bacteria; Bacillati; Bacillota; Bacilli; Lactobacillales; Enterococcaceae.